GCGGGGUAGCAAACGACUGCGCUCCCCUGGCAAUGCAUGGGUUUUAUAGCAACAGCGUGCCAAAUGCCAGUGACGCUAUUGACACAGUAUGAUUCGGUAUGUCAUACUGUGGCUAGCGUUGCCAAGGUUGGGGUCGAGGGUUCGAAUCCCUUCGCCCGCUCCA
RNAcentral lists this transfer RNA (163 nucleotides) under Sphingobium sp. JAI105. RNAcentral describes it as "tRNA-OTHER". Lineage: Bacteria; Pseudomonadati; Pseudomonadota; Alphaproteobacteria; Sphingomonadales; Sphingobiaceae. The record is from RNAcentral.